AAAUUGAAGAGUUUGAUCAUGGCUCAGAUUGAACGCUGGCGGCAGGCCUAACACAUGCAAGUCGAGCGGUAGCACAGAGAGCUUGCUCUCGGGUGACGAGCGGCGGACGGGUGAGUAAUGUCUGGGAAACUGCCUGAUGGAGGGGGAUAACUACUGGAAACGGUAGCUAAUACCGCAUAACGUCGCAAGACCAAAGUGGGGGACCUUCGGGCCUCAUGCCAUCAGAUGUGCCCAGAUGGGAUUAGCUAGUAGGUGGGGUAAUGGCUCACCUAGGCGACGAUCCCUAGCUGGUCUGAGAGGAUGACCAGCCACACUGGAACUGAGACACGGUCCAGACUCCUACGGGAGGCAGCAGUGGGGAAUAUUGCACAAUGGGCGCAAGCCUGAUGCAGCCAUGCCGCGUGUAUGAAGAAGGCCUUCGGGUUGUAAAGUACUUUCAGCGAGGAGGAA
This 450-nucleotide ribosomal RNA is filed under the name Klebsiella aerogenes. RNAcentral describes it as "partial 16S ribosomal RNA". It matches the Rfam family "Bacterial small subunit ribosomal RNA", at positions 1 to 449 of the family's 1533-position model. RNAcentral also lists the same sequence under 2 other names. The record is from RNAcentral. Lineage: Bacteria; Pseudomonadati; Pseudomonadota; Gammaproteobacteria; Enterobacterales; Enterobacteriaceae.